GUCUAUGGCUAUGCCACCAUAAAUAUACCCGAUCUUGUCUGAUCUUGGAAGCUAAGCAGGGCUGGGCCUGGUUGGUACUUGGAUGGGAGACUACCUAGGAAGACUGGAUAAAAAUAAAAA
Non-coding RNA from Pteropus alecto (black flying fox), 120 nucleotides. NCBI's taxonomy places the organism in Eukaryota, Metazoa, Chordata, Mammalia, Chiroptera, Pteropodidae. The record is from Rfam.